RNAcentral lists this ribosomal RNA (564 nucleotides) under uncultured bacterium. RNAcentral's name for it is "partial 16S ribosomal RNA". It matches the Rfam family "Bacterial small subunit ribosomal RNA", at positions 355 to 912 of the family's 1533-position model. The record is from RNAcentral.
UGGGGAAUUUUGGACAAUGGGGGAAACCCUGAUCCAGCCAUCCCGCGUGUGCGAUGAAGGCCUUCGGGUUGUAAAGCACUUUUGGCAGGAAAGAAACGUCGCGGGUUAAUACCCCGCGGAACUGACGGUACCUGCAGAAUAAGCACCGGCUAACUACGUGCCAGCAGCCGCGGUAAUACGUAGGGUGCAAGCGUUAAUCGGAAUUACUGGGCGUAAAGCGUGCGCAGGCGGUUCGGAAAGAAAGAUGUGAAAUCCCAGAGCUUAACUUUGGAACCGCAUUUUUAACUACCGGGCUAGAGUGUGUCAGAGGGAGGUGGAAUUCCGCGUGUAGCAGUGAAAUGCGUAGAUAUGCGGAGGAACACCGAUGGCGAAGGCAGCCUCCUGGGAUAACACUGACGCUCAUGCACGAAAGCGUGGGGAGCAAACAGGAUUAGAUACCCUGGUAGUCCACGCCCUAAACGAUGUCAACUAGCUGUUGGGGUCUUCGGACCUUGGUAGCGCAGCUAACGCGUGAAGUUGACCGCCUGGGGAGUACGGUCGCAAGAUUAAAACUCAAAUGAAUUG